This 81-nucleotide transfer RNA is filed under the name Nematostella vectensis (starlet sea anemone). It matches the Rfam family "tRNA". Rfam says of the family: Transfer RNA (tRNA) molecules are approximately 80 nucleotides in length. Their secondary structure includes four short double-helical elements and three loops (D, anti-codon, and T loops). Lineage: Eukaryota; Metazoa; Cnidaria; Anthozoa; Actiniaria; Edwardsiidae. The record is from Rfam by way of RNAcentral.
GUUGCGGUGCCGAGUGGUUAAGGCGUUGGACUAGAAAUCCAAUGGGAUCUUCCCGCGCAGGUUCGAAUCCUGCUCGCAACG